UGCUUAAUGAAAUUUUAUUAAGUAAAGUCUGCUCAAUGAAUUUUAAAUAGCUGCAAUUAUAUUGUACUAAGGUAGCAUAAUCACUUGUUUUUUAAUUAAAAACUAGAAUGAAAGACUUAACAUUUUAAUUUUUUUAUUAAAAUUAUUUUAUUUAAUUUAUAUUAAAUGUUAAAAUACAUUUAUAAAAUAAAAAGACGACAAGACCCUAUUGAAUUUCACUAUUGUUUGGCUGGGGCAGCCUUAAAAAAUUAAUUUUUUAUAAUAUUUUAUUUAAUAAAUAAGAUCCAAUAUUAUUGAUUUUUUGAUUAAAUUACCAUAGGGAUAACAGCGCUAUUUUUUUUUAAAGCUCUUAUUUAAAAAAUCAAUUGCGACCUCGAUGUUGAAUUAAUUUUCUAUUUUAUGCAACAAUAAAAUAAGAAGGUCUGUUCGACCUUUAAAUCAUUACAU
Molecule: ribosomal RNA, 447 nt
Filed under: Phoroncidia americana
Lineage: Eukaryota; Metazoa; Arthropoda; Arachnida; Araneae; Theridiidae
Description: partial 16S ribosomal RNA
Source: RNAcentral